ACAUGUCCUUAACCUUGGCACAACAAAUCUCUAAAUCGAUUGAGACCUGUCUCAGAUACUUCUUGGUUUACAAGAUGGAGGCUGAAAUUAAAGAGAAAGAUCCUCACUCAACUCACAGAGGAGCAGAAUGGGAAGAGGACUUAGUGAGAAUUCCCUGAACACAGGAGAAAACCGAAGCCCAGAGAGUGGAUGGCCAAGUCCAAGGUCACACAGCCAAGUGCAUCCGAGCAGCGCAGGAUCCAGGUUUCCUGCCCCAGUGCUCUUUCUGCAGCCCAUGCCACCUGUUUUCAUGCUAUCUCAGUUCACCUUCCAGCUACACACCUGCAAUCAGAAACAGAAAGUCUGAGAGAGUGUGUGGAGCCAAAGAGGGGACAGCAGUGGUGAGGCCAGUUUCAUGUCUUGUGAUUUAUUUUCUCCCUUUCUUUUUGGACUUUAAUCUUAAGUGGACAGCAAUUUGGAACAGUGUCAGCACCUUGUUGGAUUGUGCUGUUUGGGAGAGGUGACACAGAGUAUUUUAAAGGAGCAGGUUAAGAACUUUUCAUAAGGAAUCAAUUGAGAGAAAAUAAAAUAGAAACAGACUGUCCCACAUUUGGGCUGAGCACCAAACACAUUUUUUUUUUUUUUUUUUUGAGACUGAGUCUUGCUCUGUCACUCAGGCUGGAAUGCAGUGGCGCGAUCUCGGCUCACUGCAGCCUUCGCCUCCCGGGUUCAAGUGAUUCUUCUGCCUCAGCCUCCCAAGUAGCUGGGAUUACAGGUGCCCACCACCAUGCCAGGCUAAUUUUUGUAUUUUUAGUAGAGACGAGGUUUCACCAUGUUGGCCAGGCUGGUCUUGAACUCCUGACCAAGUGAUCCACCUGCUUCGGCCUCCCAAAGUGCUGGGAUUACAGGCACGAGCCACUGCACCUGGCCUCAAACAAGCUUUUUAAUUGCAUUCAGAAGUGCACCAACUAGGCACAGACCUCUGGCAUGGAGACAGAAUGGGCGGUUCUUGGUGUCUGGCCUGGUCUUGCAGAAAUCAGGGAGUUGCGGGGACCAGGCAGCCACUGUGCAUCAGAUAGGAGUUUCAGCAGCAGGCAACAGAAAGCCUGCCAAUGUAGCUGAAAUAAGAAGGGCUUAUUUUUAUCCCUGAACAGAAGCUUCCAGCACUGGUUCAUCAGAUCAGGGCACUGAGCUGGCAUCCCCAUUUACACAGUUUUCCUUUCCUUCACCUUUGUAAGAUGCCUGGCACAGCUCUGAGCAUCAAAUAUCUGUGCCAUGUGGGAGCACACGAGGGGACAAGUGGGGAAUAGGGUCUCCUCUGUCCUCUGUCCCCAGGCUGGCUUCUCUCAUGGUAGAAGGACCCCCACAGCACCAGGCCUCAUAACUACCCUGCUGGUAAACUGCAGGUGCUGUCACGGCUUCCUGCCUUCGUAUAUGAAAUGUUCCUUGGCAGUUGGACUGCUGUUUGUUUACCGCACGCACAGCUCUGCUGCGUCUUGGUUACACCAGUGAGCUAUUGCUCCAUGACAAGCCACACCGAAAUGUAGCAAGCACUUAUUGUUGCCCACAUGUCUCAAGUCAGUUGAGUGUUUCUGCCAAUCGGGGCCUGGCUUGGCCCACCUUGGCUGAGCUUGCUCUGGUGCUAGGGUCAGCUAGACAGGUCGGCAGGGGAGACCAGCUGCUCUAGAAGAGCCUGGACAGGAUGAAUUGGUUCUCCUUCCACAUGCAUCUUGCAUCCCUCUAGCCAAGGAUUUGAACCCAGGUCUCGUCUGACUCCAAAUGCACCAAGAGGAUGGAGCCCAGAGUGACACAGAGGAAGAGGCCCCUGGAUGGAUGCAUGGGGAAGAUCACGGGAAUUACAAGUGACAUACUGAAGUAUGAUCACAAAUGUUUCAAAUUAAGCCUUCCUGCUAAGUUUCCAGAGGUGUGUGGCUUGGAUGAAGUGUUUCCAGACCCCGAUCUACUGCAUGUCCUGCCUGUUGCUGGUUCUUUGCAGCAGUCCAUUGACCAAUGCUGUCUACAGCUUGAGAGCCUCUGCAGGCCAGGGCUGCUCUGUGCACAUCCUACGUUACUAUUCAAACUGCACAGCAGCAUGAAAAACAGGCCCUUCUUUUCUCUCAUUUACACGUAUGUGAAGAAGACACAACAAGUGAGAAAACGUGACCGAAAGCCAUGUGGACAGGUGGCCGCAGGGCCAAACCCAACUUCCAUGAUGUGAUCUGGCUACAGUUUGGAGCCCACAUAUUUCAAUAGUUAUCCCCAGGCCUGGCACGUCAAAGAGGCUCCAGAAAUGUUUGCUGAGUUAGAAGCAAGGCACAAGUCAUACCUACAUUCAAGGAGAGGGGACCAUGCAAAGGAUAAACUGCAGAGAGACAACAGAUUUACAUCCCAGACACACUGGGCCAAGAGCAGCUGCCAUUGCAGAUUCGAGUCACGUCCUUUUUUCCCUCCUUCUCCUUCUUGGAGUUACAACAGAAGCUGGGGAGGUGAGAGUGCAGAAAGGACGUGGAUGAAGCAGAGAGGCACGUGCCUGUCUCAUUCGCCUCUGGAUCUGCUGCACCCAGGACCGUGCCAGCACAAAGUGGGAGCCCGAUAAAUAUUUAUUGAAGAAAUGAAAGGUGACAAAAGGCAGGAGGGAGACCCCCAAAAGAGUUACACUGGAAGAAGAGCCCCUCCUUCCUUCAAGCCAAGUCAUCCCCUUGGGCUCUCACCACUGUGCUUGCCUUCAGUUUAUACCUUGCCUGUAGUCCAGUCUCUCCAGCAUCAAUUCCAUCAGCACAAAGACAUAAUUGAAUUCCUUCUACCUUAAAAAAACAAAACAAAACAAAAAACAGCUCUCGCUCUCUUAGGGUGAGAUGAAGUGGUUGGCAACAGGCCAAUGCUACUUUCAGAGGCGUUUGAAUCAGAGUGACUCCAUUUUGAAUAGGGGUUGAGUAAAAUAAGGCUGAGACCUACUGGGCUGCAUUCCCAUGAGCUUAGGCAUUCUAAGUCACAGGAUGAGACAGGAGGUCAGCACAAGAUACAGGUCACACAGACCUUGCUGAUAAAACAGAUUGUGAUAAGAAAAGCCAGUCAAAACCCACCAAAACCAAGAUGGCAACAAAAGUGAUCUCUGGUUGUCCUCACUGCUGAUUAUUCACUAAUUAUAAAAUUAACAUGAUAAAAGACACUCCCACCAGCACCAUGACAGUUUGCAAAUGACAUGGACACAUCAGGAAGUUACCCUAUAUGUCUAAAAGGGGAGGAGCCCUCUGUUCCAAUUGUCCACCCCUUUCCUGGAAAACUCAUGAAUAAUCCACCCCUUGUUUAGCAUAUAAUCAAGAAAUAACCAUGAAAAUAGCCAACCAGCAGCCCUCAGGGCUGCUUUGCCUAUGGAGUAGCCAUUCUAUAUUCCUUUACUUUCUUAAUAAACUUGCUUUCACUUUA
This 3405-nucleotide long non-coding RNA is filed under the name Pan troglodytes (chimpanzee). Its description in RNAcentral is "lincRNA". The stretch from base 2347 to 2477 matches the Rfam family "T-cell leukemia/lymphoma 6 conserved region 3". The record is from RNAcentral. Lineage: Eukaryota; Metazoa; Chordata; Mammalia; Primates; Hominidae.